This 391-nucleotide unclassified non-coding RNA is filed under the name soil metagenome. RNAcentral's name for it is "partial contains 5.8S ribosomal RNA, internal transcribed spacer 2, and large subunit ribosomal RNA". The stretch from base 1 to 122 matches the Rfam family "5.8S ribosomal RNA", at positions 35 to 154 of the family's 154-position model. The record is from RNAcentral.
GAUGAAGAACGUAGCGAAAUGCGAUACUUGGUGUGAAUUGCAGAAUCCCGUGAACCAUCGAGUCUUUGAACGCAAGUUGCGCCCGAAGCCAUUAGGCCGAGGGCACGCCUGCCUGGGCGUCACACGUCGUUGCCCCCCCAUCUACUCCUUCGGGAUUGCGGGGGGCGGAUGAUGGCCUCCCGUGCGCCUCGUCGCGCGGUUGGCAUAAAUACCAAGUCCUCGGCGACGCACGCCACGACAAUCGUUGGUUGCGAAACCUCGGUUGCCCGUCGUGUGCGGUCGUCGCGCAUCGAGGGCUCGAAAAAAUUGCCGGGCUCCGGCUCGGCUUUCAACGCGACCCCAGGUCAGGCGGGGUUACCCGCUGAAUUUAAGCAUAUCAAUAAGCGGAGGA